UACGUAGGUGACAAGCGUUGUCCGGAUUUACUGGGCGUAAAGAGCGCGCAGGCGGUCGUUCAAGUCGAGUGUGAAAGCCCCCGGCUCAACUGGGGAGGGUCAUUCGAUACUGAUCGACUCGAAGGCAGGAGAGGGUAGUGGAAUUCCCGGUGUAGUGGUGAAAUGCGUAGAUAUCAGGAGGAACACCGGUGGCGAAGGCGGAUCUCUGGGCCUUACCUGACGCUGAGGCGCGAAAGCUAGGGGAGCGAACAGG
Molecule: ribosomal RNA, 253 nt
Filed under: uncultured bacterium
Lineage: Bacteria
Description: partial 16S ribosomal RNA
Rfam family: Bacterial small subunit ribosomal RNA
Source: RNAcentral